RNAcentral lists this ribosomal RNA (531 nucleotides) under uncultured bacterium. RNAcentral's name for it is "bacterial SSU rRNA". It matches the Rfam family "Bacterial small subunit ribosomal RNA", at positions 777 to 1306 of the family's 1533-position model. The record is from RNAcentral.
AAUAGAUACCCUGGUAGUCCAUGCCGUAAACGUUGGGCACUAGGUGUGGGGCUCAUUCCACGAGUUCCGUGCCGCAGCAAACGCAUUAAGUGCCCCGCCUGGGGAGUACGGCCGCAAGGCUAAAACUCAAAGGAAUUGACGGGGGCCCGCACAAGCGGCGGAGCAUGCGGAUUAAUUCGAUGCAACGCGAAGAACCUUACCAAGGCUUGACAUGCACGGGAAGCCACCAGAGAUGGUGGUCUCUUUGGACACUCGUGCACAGGUGGUGCAUGGUUGUCGUCAGCUCGUGUCGUGAGAUGUUGGGUUAAGUCCCGCAACGAGCGCAACCCUCGUCCCAUGUUGCCAGCGGGUUAUGCCGGGGACUCAUGGGAGACUGCCGGGGUCAACUCGGAGGAAGGUGGGGAUGACGUCAAAUCAUCAUGCCCCUUAUGUCUUGGGCUUCACGCAUGCUACAAUGGCCGGUACAAAGGGCUGCGAUACCGUAAGGUGGAGCGAAUCCCAAAAAGCCGGUCUCAGUUCGGAUUGGGGUCG